Mycena rebaudengoi is the source of this 91-nucleotide non-coding RNA. The record is from the annotation of a GenBank genome assembly. Lineage: Eukaryota; Fungi; Basidiomycota; Agaricomycetes; Agaricales; Mycenaceae.
GACCCGGUGACACAGCGGUAGUGCAUCUGCUUGCAAUAUUGAAGUGGCAAAAUAGUAGGCGGACAACGUUGGUUCAAGUCCGGCUGGGCCU